RNAcentral lists this ribosomal RNA (253 nucleotides) under uncultured bacterium. RNAcentral's name for it is "partial 16S ribosomal RNA". It matches the Rfam family "Bacterial small subunit ribosomal RNA", at positions 524 to 776 of the family's 1533-position model. The record is from RNAcentral.
UACGUAGGGGGCAAGCGUUAUCCGGAUUUACUGGGUGUAAAGGGAGCGUAGACGGCUGUGCAAGCCAGAUGUGAAAGCCCGGGGCUCAACCCCGGGACUGCAUUUGGAACUGUGUAGCUGGAGUGUCGGAGAGGCAGGCGGAAUUCCUAGUGUAGCGGUGAAAUGCGUAGAUAUUAGGAGGAACACCAGUGGCGAAGGCGGCCUGCUGGACCGCGACUGACGUUGAGGCUCGAAAGCGUGGGGAGCAAACAGG